AAUAUAAUAACAGUGCUUCGUUGAUCUCUUCAUCACCCUUGAAGAUAAUCCUUUUAUGACUCUGUUUUGUUAUUUAAAUUUUUUUCUCAUCUCAUACCAGUCAACUUCUGUAGGAUAUUCAGUUUGAACUAACCCUUCUAUUGCUCUCUUCUUGUGGUCAAAAGUUCUCUUCAGCUUGCUGAGUUGAGAAGUAUACUCUUGGUG
This 204-nucleotide small RNA is filed under the name Arabidopsis thaliana (thale cress). RNAcentral's name for it is "ATSL201760". The record is from RNAcentral. Lineage: Eukaryota; Viridiplantae; Streptophyta; Magnoliopsida; Brassicales; Brassicaceae.